CAGGAGUGUUGCCAGAACACUGUACAAAUUGUUGAAAUGAAAAGUUGGAGAGGUGUUUAAAGAUGCAUCUGAGGGAGGUGAGGGCUUAAGAGAGACAUAGUUAUUUUGUUCUGUCAUUUUGGCCUCAGCCUGAAUCCUGCAUGCAACAUCAGGUUGUCUUUCCUUAGGACUGAGCCUGGAAUACAAGGAUGAGACAACCUGGCAUGCCCUGAGGUGGCCUGGAGCACUGACCUUCUUCCCAAGGACUGCCAGAGCUACUGUGCUGAAGUUCAAACUUUUUAUGGACUAGUGAUUUUCCUGUGUUACUGCCAGCAAUCUUAAACACUCUGGAUAUUCUGGCUGCAAAUCAAGCUGUCUGUGUAAAUAUAUUCCUGAUGAUUUUGAACCAGUAGGAGAAACAUACUUGACAAAACCAAAGAAAAAUCUUCGAAGGAAAAGCUCUGUCCUGACUGUUUUUCUGUUAUAAAGAAAUUUUGUAUAAACUUCACAGUGAAGCUCUUGGAAAUCCUACUGAGAGACUGGAAAUCAUCUCCUAAUGGAGCUUACAAAAGAACAGAUACUACAGGGAUUUUAUUUUCUGGUGAUGAAUAAGAGUUCAGUGGAAUGGAAAACAAUUUUUCUUAAGCGUUACUGGAGGCCAUCAAACAGCAAGAAGGAAUAAUUUGUCUGCUGCUGCAUGUUCAGCAGAAUUUAAAGGUAUCUAUAAAAAAACCCAGGUGUAGUGAUAAACCUAGAUUCCCC
Molecule: long non-coding RNA, 741 nt
Filed under: Anser brachyrhynchus (Pink-footed goose)
Lineage: Eukaryota; Metazoa; Chordata; Aves; Anseriformes; Anatidae
Description: lncRNA (ENSABRG00000001843.1)
Source: RNAcentral